RNAcentral lists this small nuclear RNA (138 nucleotides) under Panthera leo (lion). Its description in RNAcentral is "U2 spliceosomal RNA (ENSPLOG00000007470.1)". It matches the Rfam family "U2 spliceosomal RNA". From Rfam's summary of the family: U2 is a small nuclear RNA (snRNA) component of the spliceosome (involved in pre-mRNA splicing). Complementary binding between U2 snRNA (in an area lying towards the 5' end but 3' to hairpin I) and the branchpoint sequence (BPS) of the intron results the bulging out of an unpaired adenosine, on the BPS, which initiates a nucleophilic attack at the intronic 5' splice site, thus starting the first of two transesterification reactions that mediate splicing. Lineage: Eukaryota; Metazoa; Chordata; Mammalia; Carnivora; Felidae. The record is from Rfam by way of RNAcentral.
AUUGCUUCUCUGCCUUUUGCCUGAGAUCAAGUGUAGUAUAUGUUCUUAUCAGUUUGUAACACCAUUGUGUUGUUUAUAGUGGCAAGAAAAAAAAAAAAGUCUGGUAAUGAAUAGUUACCUAAGUCUUAGUAAACCUAC